UACGUAGGGGGCAAGCGUUGUCCGGAAUCAUUGGGCGUAAAGCGCGCGUAGGCGGCCCUGUAAGUCCGUUGUGAAAGUCAAAGGCUCAACCUUUGAAAGCCGAUGGAUACUGCAGGGCUCGAGUUCGGAAGAGGCGAGUGGAAUUCCUGGUGUAGCGGUGGAAUGCGCAGAUAUCAGGAGGAACACCAAUAGCGAAGGCAGCUCGCUGGGACGAUGCUGACGCUAAGGCGCGAAAGCGUGGGGAGCGAACAGG
This 253-nucleotide ribosomal RNA is filed under the name uncultured bacterium. Its description in RNAcentral is "partial 16S ribosomal RNA". It matches the Rfam family "Bacterial small subunit ribosomal RNA", at positions 524 to 776 of the family's 1533-position model. The record is from RNAcentral.